CCAAAGAGAAAACCAGUGGGCAG
This 23-nucleotide non-coding RNA is filed under the name Arabidopsis thaliana (thale cress). Lineage: Eukaryota; Viridiplantae; Streptophyta; Magnoliopsida; Brassicales; Brassicaceae. The record is from RNAcentral.